AACCCAUGUUGGGGACAUUUUCGCAGGAGCUCAUGGAAGCUAUCACAUGUCUCGAAAAGAGACUCCAAUUUCAUUUGCACAAAAGAAGAUAUGUCAUUCCUAAGCUU
Small nucleolar RNA from Dioscorea cayenensis subsp. rotundata (Guinea yam), 107 nucleotides. The record is from RefSeq and is a predicted model, not a curated record. NCBI's taxonomy places the organism in Eukaryota, Viridiplantae, Streptophyta, Magnoliopsida, Dioscoreales, Dioscoreaceae.